ACGAAACUGGCGGCCGGCUUAGACUUGCAUGUCGAGCGGGCGAGGUUGCUUCGGAUGAGUGUCCUUGCGGCGGACGGGUGAGUAAUGCUUAGGAAUCUGCCUAUUAGUGGGGGACAACAUUCCGAAAGGGAUGCUAAUACCGCAUACGUCCUACGGGAGAAAGCAGGGGAUCUUUAUGACCUUGCGCUAAUAGAUGAGCCUAAGUCGGAUUAGCUAGUUGGUGGGGUAAAGGCCUACCAAGGCGACGAUCUGUAAGCGGGUCUGAGAGGAUGAUCCGCCACACUGGGACUGAGACACGGCCCAGACUCCUACGGGAGGCAGCAGUGGGGAAUAUUGGACAAUGGGGGGAACCCUGAUCCAGCCAUGCCGCGUGUGUGAAGAAGGCCUUUUGGUUGUAAAGCACUUUAAGUGGGGAGGAGGCUGACCUGGUUAAUACCUGGGCUAAGUGGACGUUACCCACAGAAUAAGCACCGGCUAACUCUGUGCCAGCAGCCGCGGUAAUACAGAGGGUGCGAGCGUUAAUCGGAUUUACUGGGCGUAAAGCGCGCGUAGGUGGUUAAUUAAGUCAAAUGUGAAAUCCCCGAGCUUAACUUGAGAAU
RNAcentral lists this ribosomal RNA (599 nucleotides) under Acinetobacter sp. HPC1325. RNAcentral describes it as "bacterial SSU rRNA". It matches the Rfam family "Bacterial small subunit ribosomal RNA", at positions 29 to 621 of the family's 1533-position model. The record is from RNAcentral. Lineage: Bacteria; Pseudomonadati; Pseudomonadota; Gammaproteobacteria; Moraxellales; Moraxellaceae.